GAAUCAUAAUGGCCGAAAAUCUAAGGUUUCUUGGGGAAGGUUCGUCCGCCCAAGGUUAGUCGGGAGCUAAGCUCAGGCCGAAAGGCGUAGGCGAUGCACAUACGGUAGAAAUUCCGUAACCACCGAACAUUUAAGCUAGAGGGACGCUUUCUUUAAGGUUAUCCCGGGCGAUGGUUGCCCCGGGCGUAAGGGACCGAAAUUUAGUAGGGAAGUAACUGGCGAGAGAGACGAGAAAAGCUCUAGUGUAUACUAAGGUGCCCGUACCGCAAACCGACACAGGUAGAUGGGAUGAGUAUUCUAAGGCCAACGGGAGAAGGGUUGUUAAGGAACUCGGCAAAUUGGCCCCGUAACUUCGGGAUAAGGGGCGCCUGCGAGAGCAGGCCGCAGUGAAAAGGCCCAAGCGACUGUUUAGCAAAAACACAGCUCUCUGCUAAAUCGAAAGAUGACGUAUAGGGGGUGACGCCUGCCCGGUGCUGGAAGGUUAAGGGGAGUGCUUAGCAGCAAUGCGAAGGUGCGAACUUAAGCCCCAGUAAACGGCGGCCGUAACUAUAACGGUCCUAAGGUAGCGAAAUUCCUUGUCAGGUAAGUUCUGACCCGCACGAAUGGCGUAACGAUUUGGGCACUGUCUCAACAGCCCGCCCGGCGAAAUUGUAGUACCGGUGAAGAUGCCGGUUUCCCGCAACUAGACGGAAAGACCCCAUGGAGCUUCACUGUAGCUUGAUAUUGGAUCUCGGUAUUCCAUGUACAGGAUAGGUGGGAGGCUAGGAAGCGAGCGCGCCAGCGUUCGUGGAGCCAACCUUGGGAUACCACUCUUGGGAUAUUGGGAUUCUAACCUGCGACCAUGAAUCUGGUCGGGGGACACUGUCAGGUGGGCAGUUUGACUGGGGCGGUCGCCUCCAAAAGAGUAACGGAGGCGCUCAAAGGUUCGUUCAGCACGGAUGGAAAUCGUGCACUGAGUGUAAACGCAUAAACGAGCCUAACUGCGAGAAUGACGGUUCGAGCAGUAACGAAAGUUGGAGUUAGUGAUCCGGCGGUAUGUGAAUGGAAAUGCCGUCGCUCAACGGAUAAAAGCUACCCUGGGGAUAACAGGCUGAUCU
Molecule: ribosomal RNA, 1097 nt
Filed under: human gut metagenome
Description: bacterial LSU rRNA
Rfam family: Bacterial large subunit ribosomal RNA
Source: RNAcentral